GAUGAACGCUGGCGGCGUGCUUAACACAUGCAAGUCGAACGAAGCACUUUAUUACAAUUUCUUCGGAAUGACGAUUUAGUGACUGAGUGGCGGACGGGUGAGUAACGCGUGGGUAACCUGCCUUAUACAGGGGGAUAACAGUUAGAAAUGACUGCUAAUACCGCAUAAGCGCACAGGAUUGCAUGAUCUGGUGUGAAAAACUCCGGUGGUAUAAGAUGGACCCGCGUCUGAUUAGCUGGUUGGUGAGGUAACGGCCCACCAAGGCGACGAUCAGUAGCCGACCUGAGAGGGUGACCGGCCACAUUGGGACUGAGACACGGCCCAAACUCCUACGGGAGGCAGCAGUGGGGAAUAUUGCACAAUGGGGGAAACCCUGAUGCAGCGACGCCGCGUGAGCGAAGAAGUAUUUCGGUAUGUAAAGCUCUAUCAGCAGGGAAGAAAAAAAUGACGGUACCUGACUAAGAAGCCCCGGCUAACUACGUGCCAGCAGCCGCGGUAAUACGUAGGGGGCAAGCGUUAUCCGGAUUUACUGGGUGUAAAGGGAGCGCAGGCGGUGCGGCAAGUCUGAUGUGAAAGCCCGGGGCUCAACCCCGGGACUGCAUUGGAAACUGUCGUACUUGAGUAUCGGAGAGGUAAGUGGAACUCCUAGUGUAGCGGUGAAAUGCGUAGAUAUUAGGAGGAACACCAGUGGCGAAGGCGGCUUACUGGACGAUAACUGACGCUGAGGCUCGAAAGCGUGGGGAGCAAACAGGAUUAGAUACCCUGGUAGUCCACGCCGUAAAC
Molecule: ribosomal RNA, 783 nt
Filed under: uncultured bacterium
Lineage: Bacteria
Description: bacterial SSU rRNA
Rfam family: Bacterial small subunit ribosomal RNA
Source: RNAcentral